GAUGAACGCUGACAGAAUGCUUAACACAUGCAAGUCAACUUGAAUUUGGGUUUUUAACUUAGAUUUGGGUGGCGGACGGGUGAGUAACGCGUAAAGAACUUGCCUCACAGCUAGGGACAACAUUUAGAAAUGAAUGCUAAUACCUGAUAUUAUGAUUUUAGGGCAUCCUAGAAUUAUGAAAGCUAUAUGCACUGUGAGAGAGCUUUGCGUCCCAUUAGCUAGUUGGAGAGGUAACGGCUCACCAAGGCGAUGAUGGGUAGCCGGCCUAAGAGGGUGAUCGGCCACAAGGGGACUGAGACACGGCCCUUACUCCUACGGGAGGCAGCAGUGGGGAAUAUUGGACAAUGGACCAAGAGUCUGAUCCAGCAAUUCUGUGUGCACGAUGAAGUUUUUCGGAAUGUAAAGUGCUUUCAGUUGGGAAGAAAAAAAUGACGGUACCAACAGAAGAAGUGACGGCUAAAUACGUGCCAGCAGCCGCGGUGAUACGUAUGUCACAAGCGUUAUCCGGAUUUAUUGGGCGUAAAGCGCGUCUAGGUGGUUAUAUAAGUCUGAUGUGAAAAUGCAGGGCUCAACUCUGUAUUGCGUUGGAAACUGUGUAACUAGAGUACUGGAGAGGUAAGCGGAACUACAAGUGUAGAGGUGAAAUUCGUAGAUAUUUGUAGGAAUGCCGAUGGGGAAGCCAGCUUACUGGACAGAUACUGACGCUGAAGCGCGAAAGCGUGGGUAGCAAACAGG
RNAcentral lists this ribosomal RNA (735 nucleotides) under uncultured Fusobacterium sp. Its description in RNAcentral is "bacterial SSU rRNA". It matches the Rfam family "Bacterial small subunit ribosomal RNA", at positions 28 to 776 of the family's 1533-position model. Lineage: Bacteria; Fusobacteriati; Fusobacteriota; Fusobacteriia; Fusobacteriales; Fusobacteriaceae. The record is from RNAcentral.